Molecule: ribosomal RNA, 447 nt
Filed under: uncultured bacterium
Lineage: Bacteria
Description: bacterial SSU rRNA
Rfam family: Bacterial small subunit ribosomal RNA
Source: RNAcentral
UGGGGAAUCUUGGGCAAUGGGGGAAACCCUGACCCAGCAACGCCGCGUGAAGGAUGAAGUAUUUCGGUAUGUAAACUUCGAAAGAAUAGGAAGAAUAAAUGACGGUACUAUUUAUAAGGUCCGGCUAACUACGUGCCAGCAGCCGCGGUAAUACGUAGGGACCAAGCGUUGUUCGGAUUUACUGGGCGUAAAGGGCGCGUAGGCGGCAUGACAAGUCACUUGUGAAAUCUCUGGGCUUAACCCAGAACGGCCAAGUGAUACUGUCGCGCUAGAGUGCAGAAGGGGCAAUCGGAAUUCUUGGUGUAGCGGUGAAAUGCGUAGAUAUCAAGAGGAACACCUGAGGUGAAGACGGGUUGCUGGGCUGACACUGACGCUGAGGCGCGAAAGCCAGGGGAGCAAACGGGAUUAGAUACCCGUGUAGUCCCUGAGCGGGCUGGCAAGGCGCAU